This 568-nucleotide long non-coding RNA is filed under the name Gopherus agassizii (Agassiz's desert tortoise). Its description in RNAcentral is "lncRNA (ENSGAGG00000009630.1)". The record is from RNAcentral. Lineage: Eukaryota; Metazoa; Chordata; Testudines; Testudinidae.
AUGCCCAAGCCCAUCUGUUUAGGGAGCGAACAAAUGGGCAACAAGCGGAAGAAACUUUGCAUCUGCCUGGUAGGUGCCUUCAUCCUCAUAUUAGCUGCCAUAUUAAUCACUCUCACCUGCUGUGUGGUCGAGUGCCAGGGGCAGCUGAAGACCUCAGAUCUGGAUGAGAAACUCGCCAACCUGCAGGAGGAGAAGAGGUCCCUGGAAAAGCAGCGGGAUGGGGUGAGGGCAGAUGUCACGGCGCUGCGGUCAGAACUGGCCGCCACCAAUCAGACCCUUUGGGAGACGCGCGGGCGCUGGGACUUCUGCAGGAGCCUGACGCAUAAGCUGCAGAACAACAUCACUGCCCUGAGCGACAAAAUCACACAGCUGGAAGCCAGAGACUCUGAGCGGGAGGCCAAGGAACAAGGUUUACAAGAUGAAAAUGGCAGGCUCAGAGAGCAGCUCUCCAGCCAGUCCCAGCAGCUGCAGGAUUCCCAGCAAGAAUUCCAGAAGCAAAAGUAGAGACCUACCAGUCCCAACCCCGUGGGGCUGGGGUGGGGCCCUCCCCCGACAGAGCUCUGAGGCU